This 380-nucleotide unclassified non-coding RNA is filed under the name soil metagenome. RNAcentral's name for it is "partial contains 5.8S ribosomal RNA, internal transcribed spacer 2, and large subunit ribosomal RNA". The stretch from base 1 to 120 matches the Rfam family "5.8S ribosomal RNA", at positions 35 to 154 of the family's 154-position model. The record is from RNAcentral.
GAUGAAGAACGCAGCGAAAUGCGAUAAGUAAUGUGAAUUGCAGAAUUCAGUGAAUCAUCGAAUCUUUGAACGCACCUUGCACCCUUUGGCAUUCUGAAGGGUAUGCUCGUUUGAGUGUCAUUGUACUCUCACACUCCCGAUCUUUGCAUUGGGAGCAGUGGACUUGGGUUUGCUGCUUCACCGUCGCUUACCUCAAAUAGGUUAGUGCAACUCUUGGUUGGACAUAGUACGGCGUGAUAAGUGUUCAUCGCCGGUGCCUCGCAAAGAGGGUGGCCGAUCGGGAUGUUGUGCUCCAAACCGUCUUCGGACAAUCUCUGACGACUUGACCUCAAAUCGAGUAAGACUACCCGCUGAACUUAAGCAUAUCAAUAAGCGGAGGA